This 495-nucleotide ribosomal RNA is filed under the name uncultured bacterium. Its description in RNAcentral is "partial 16S ribosomal RNA". It matches the Rfam family "Bacterial small subunit ribosomal RNA", at positions 28 to 507 of the family's 1533-position model. The record is from RNAcentral.
GACGAACGCUGGCGGCGUGCCUAAUACAUGCAAGUAGAACGCUGAAGGAGGAGCUUGCUUCUCUGGAUGAGUUGCGAACGGGUGAGUAACGCGUAGGUAACCUGCCUGGUAGCGGGGGAUAACUAUUGGAAACGAUAGCUAAUACCGCAUAAUAGUAGAUGUUGCAUGACAUUUGCUUAAAAGGUGCAAUUGCAUCACUACCAGAUGGACCUGCGUUGUAUUAGCUAGUUGGUGGGGUAACGGCUCACCAAGGCGACGAUACAUAGCCGACCUGAGAGGGGGAACGGCCACACUGGGACUGAGACACGGCCCAGACUCCUACGGGAGGCAGCAGUAGGGAAUCUUCGGCAAUGGACGGAAGUCUGACUGAGCAACGCCGCGGGAGUGAAGAAGGUUUUCGGAUCGUAAAGCUCUGUUGUAAGAGAAGAACGAGUGUGAGAGUGGAAAGUUCACACUGUGACGGUAUCUUACCAGAAAGGGACGGCUAACUACGUG